RNAcentral lists this ribosomal RNA (500 nucleotides) under uncultured Glomeromycotina. RNAcentral's name for it is "partial small subunit ribosomal RNA". It matches the Rfam family "Eukaryotic small subunit ribosomal RNA", at positions 591 to 1092 of the family's 1831-position model. Lineage: Eukaryota; Fungi; Glomeromycota. The record is from RNAcentral.
CCAAUAGCGUAUAUUAAAGUUGUUGCAGUUAAAAAGCUCGUAGUUGAAUUUCGGGAUCAAUGCGUCGGUCGUGCCUUCGGUACGUACUGGCGUCAUCGAUUCCUCCCUUCUGAAGAACCGUGAUGUCAUUAAUUUGGUGUUACGGGGAAUCAGGACUGUUACCUUGAAAAAAUUAGAGUGUUUAAAGCAGGCUAACGCUUGAAUACAUUAGCAUGGAAUAAUGAAAUAGGACGUUCGAACCUAUUUUGUUGGUUUCUAGGAUCGACGUAAUGAUUAAUAGGGAUAGUUGGGGGCAUUAGUAUUCAAUUGUCAGAGGUGAAAUUCUUGGAUUUAUUGAAGACUAACUACUGCGAAAGCAUUUGCCAAGGAUGUUUUCAUUAAUCAAGAACGAAAGUUAGGGGAUCGAAGACGAUCAGAUACCGUCGUAGUCUUAACCAUAAACUAUGCCGACUAGGGAUCGGAUGAUGUUAAUUUUAUAAUGACUCAUUCGGCGCCUUACG